UUCUAAUAGAAAUAUUUAUUAGUAAAAUCUGCUCAAUGAAAUUUUUAAAUAGCCGCAAUUAUUUUUGUGCUAAGGUAGCAUAAUCAUUUGUCUUUUAAUUAAAGACUAGAACGAAAGAUAUUACAUUUAAACUUCUAUAUUAAUUUAAAUUUACAAAUUAUUUUAAGUAUAAAAAAAUACUUAUAUAUAAAAAAGACGAUAAGACCCUAUUAAACUUAACUUUAGUUUAACUGGGGUAGUUAAUUAAUUAUUAUUUUAAUUUAAAUAAAAGGAAAAAUUGAUCUUAAAAAUUAAAUUAAAUAAUCAAGUUACUAUAGGGAUAACAGCGUAAUUAUUAUUUAAAGCUCUUAUAAUAAAAAUAGAUUACGACCUCGAUGUUGAAUAAUUAUUCUAGUAAAUGCAAUAAUUUAACUUUUAAGAAAGUCUGUUCGACUUUUAAUUAAUUACA
This 448-nucleotide ribosomal RNA is filed under the name Neoramia sp. CG129. RNAcentral's name for it is "partial 16S ribosomal RNA". Lineage: Eukaryota; Metazoa; Arthropoda; Arachnida; Araneae; Agelenidae. The record is from RNAcentral.